This 509-nucleotide ribosomal RNA is filed under the name Stenothyra sp. 'Johor'. Its description in RNAcentral is "partial 16S ribosomal RNA". It matches the Rfam family "Bacterial large subunit ribosomal RNA", at positions 1813 to 2599 of the family's 2925-position model. The record is from RNAcentral. Lineage: Eukaryota; Metazoa; Mollusca; Gastropoda; Littorinimorpha; Stenothyridae.
ACAUCGCUCUUUGAAAAGUUAGAAUAAAGAGUCGAGCCUGCCCAGUGAUAUAAUUUUAACGGCCGCGGUACUCUGACCGUGCAAAGGUAGCAUAAUCAUUUGCCCUAUAAUUGAGGGCUAGUAUGAAUGGUUUGACAAGAGCAAUACUGUCUCCUUUAGAUUUUAUAGAAUUUGGUUUUCAGGUGAAGAAACCUGAAUUUAAUUGAAAGACAAGAAGACCCUAUCGAGCUUUAAGUUAUUUUGUUAAUUUAAUGAGUUAAAGAUCAGUUUUAACAAAAGAUUUUGGUUGGGGCGACUGAGGAACAAAGAAAGCUUCCUUUUUUAAAAAGACUUAUUGGUUUUGAUCCAAAAUGUUUGAUUAAAAGAAUUAGUUACCGUAGGGAUAACAGCAUAAUCUUUUUUGAGAGCUCUUAUCGAAAAAAAGGUUUGUGACCUCGAUGUUGGACUAGGAUAUCCUAAUAGAUGCAGACGUCUUUGAUGGUUGGUCUGUUCGACCAUUAAAAUCCUAC